This 496-nucleotide ribosomal RNA is filed under the name uncultured bacterium. RNAcentral describes it as "partial 16S ribosomal RNA". It matches the Rfam family "Bacterial small subunit ribosomal RNA", at positions 28 to 507 of the family's 1533-position model. The record is from RNAcentral.
GACGAACGCUGGCGGCGUGCCUAAUACAUGCAAGUAGAACGCUGAAGCUUGGUGCUUGCACCGAGCGGGUGAGUUGCGAACGGGUGAGUAACGCGUAGGUAACCUGCCUGGUAGCGGGGGAUAACUAUUGGAAACGAUAGCUAAUACCGCAUAAUAGUAGAUGUUGCAUGACAUUUGCUUAAAAGGUGCAAUUGCAUCACUACCAGAUGGACCUGCGUUGUAUUAGCUAGUUGGUGAGGUAACGGCCCACCAAGGCAACGAUACAUAGCCGACCGGGGAGGUGGACCGCCAACACUGGACUGGGAAACGGCCCAGGCCUCCUCCGGGAGGCAGAGGAGGGAAUCAUCGGAAAUGGACGGAAAGCUUACCGAGGCACGCCGCGGGAGUGAAGAAGGUCUUCGGAUCGUAAAGCUCUGUUGUAAGAGAAGAACGAGUGUGAGAGUGGAAAGUUCACGCUGUGACGGUAUCUAACCAGAAAGGAACGGCUAACUACGUG